This 291-nucleotide unclassified non-coding RNA is filed under the name air metagenome. Its description in RNAcentral is "partial contains small subunit ribosomal RNA, internal transcribed spacer 1, and 5.8S ribosomal RNA". The stretch from base 1 to 46 matches the Rfam family "Eukaryotic small subunit ribosomal RNA", at positions 1786 to 1831 of the family's 1831-position model. The record is from RNAcentral.
AAGUCGUAACAAGGUUUCCGUAGGUGAACCUGCGGAAGGAUCAUUAACGUAUCUCUGGCGGGAAAGCGCGAGCCCUGCUCCGGCCCAUUCGGUGCCGCGCAGCGGGCGGACGCCCCCGUUCAACCUUUCAAACCCCCCUGUGCACUUUAACGGUGGAUGGCGUCUCCGGCGAGAGCCGGGCGUCGGAAGCCGUGCCUUUACAAACUCGAACUUCUUUUAACAGAAUGAACUGCGGCCUUAGCUGUCGCCUAACAAACGAAACAACUUUCAACAACGGAUCUCUUGGCUCUC